UGGGUAGGGGAGCUUCCCAUACGGGUUGAAGCAUGACCGUAAGGACAUGUGGACAGUAUGGGAGUGAGAAUGUUGGCAUGAGUAGCGAGAUGUGGGUGAGAAUCCCACAGGCCGUAAACCCAAGGUUGCCAGGGGAAGGUUCGUCCGCCCUGGGUUAGUCGGGACCUAAGCUGAGGCCGAAAGGCGUAGGUGAUGGACAACAGGUUGAUAUUCCUGUACUACCGAUAACCGUUUGAGAGA
This 240-nucleotide ribosomal RNA is filed under the name Clostridioides difficile. RNAcentral describes it as "partial 23S ribosomal RNA". It matches the Rfam family "Bacterial large subunit ribosomal RNA", at positions 1225 to 1465 of the family's 2925-position model. Lineage: Bacteria; Bacillati; Bacillota; Clostridia; Peptostreptococcales; Peptostreptococcaceae. The record is from RNAcentral.